Molecule: long non-coding RNA, 477 nt
Organism: Cryptomeria japonica (Japanese cedar)
Lineage: Eukaryota; Viridiplantae; Streptophyta; Pinopsida; Cupressales; Cupressaceae
Exons: 2
Source: RefSeq, a predicted model, not a curated record
UACAAUGAUAUAGUAACUGACGGAUAUAGCAGAUAUAUUAUUACAUGAAAGUUAUUGUAACUGAUACUGCAAACUGAAGAAGAGGCAGGAAGAUACUUUGCACAGGUGACGUUACUGCAAACUCAACAGGUGCUACAGGAGAAUCUAGGUUGGAAGUUGAACGGUUUCACCUCAUAUACAAAAUCUUGCUAUCGUGAGAUCGCAGGGGCUUUGAUAGUUUAUGAUAUCACCAGGCCUCGUACCUUUGAAAACGUUGGAAUGCAGACAAAAACGCAAAGUGCAGACAAGAAACGGUAAUUUACAAAGUUUAAUUAUUUUCACAAAAGGUGACUUGAAAGAGGUCCGCGAGGAAGAUGCAAAUAGAAAGAUUUGCAGGAAGAUUGUUCAAUACGAGUAAUAAGACCGUUGGGAGAAUGGACAAGAAGUGCGACAAAUGCCAGAAAUCUUGCAACAAGUCUGUCAUAAUAACAGAUGGAA